Carya illinoinensis is the source of this 366-nucleotide long non-coding RNA. RefSeq lists it as uncharacterized. NCBI's taxonomy places the organism in Eukaryota, Viridiplantae, Streptophyta, Magnoliopsida, Fagales, Juglandaceae. The record is from RefSeq and is a predicted model, not a curated record. The transcript has 2 exons.
AAUCUCAUUUUAUCUGUUUGCUUCAGGAGCUAGAAACAGAUCAAGUUAUAAAGCAACUAAAGUAUGUUCAGAUGCUGAGGCCCCAGCUAGCUGCCAAACGUCGAAAAUCAGAUCAUAGAAAAAAAAAAAAGUGAUGGCGAUGCACAAAAUCCUACAGUAGAUGAAUCAAACACAGAUUCCGUAACAUGGUGAGAAAUGCUUGUUAAUUUUGUCUAGAGCGUCCAUACAACUUGCCUUGCCUGUCUUGUACAUUCAGGUCAUAGAAAUCCAAAGUUAGUCGAGUAUUCUGCAUCACAGUUGUUUAGCUCUAUAAUUGAUACAGAAGGAUGAACCAGAAUAUAGAUGUUUUGGCCCCUUGCCAUCGUU